GUGAGAUGGGAAUGGUAGCUGAAGUUAUUAGAAGUACAAGGAAUGGGUUAGUUGGUUAGAACAAAAGAAACACUCUCUCUGUGUUUUCUUUCUUACCAAUUCCGCCCAUUCCUCAUAUUUCUAAUUUCUCCUCCCUUUCCCUUUCCUCA
RNAcentral lists this microRNA precursor (149 nucleotides) under Trifolium pratense (red clover). Its description in RNAcentral is "pre miRNA MIR2118". Lineage: Eukaryota; Viridiplantae; Streptophyta; Magnoliopsida; Fabales; Fabaceae. The record is from RNAcentral.